RNAcentral lists this microRNA precursor (94 nucleotides) under Bos taurus (domestic cattle). Its description in RNAcentral is "microRNA bta-mir-31 precursor". Its record names the gene bta-mir-31. The stretch from base 14 to 93 matches the Rfam family "mir-31 microRNA precursor family". Lineage: Eukaryota; Metazoa; Chordata; Mammalia; Artiodactyla; Bovidae. The record is from miRBase by way of RNAcentral. RNAcentral also lists the same sequence under 4 other names.
UCCUGUAACUUGGAACUGGAGAGGAGGCAAGAUGCUGGCAUAGCUGUUGAACUGCGAACCUGCUAUGCCAACAUAUUGCCAUCUCUCUUGUCCG